This 72-nucleotide transfer RNA is filed under the name Candidatus Woesebacteria bacterium. RNAcentral's name for it is "tRNA-Thr". It matches the Rfam family "tRNA". Rfam says of the family: Transfer RNA (tRNA) molecules are approximately 80 nucleotides in length. Their secondary structure includes four short double-helical elements and three loops (D, anti-codon, and T loops). The record is from RNAcentral. Lineage: Bacteria; Candidatus Woeseibacteriota.
GCCACCCUAGCUCAAUGGCAGAGCGCCCGCUUUGUAAGCGGAUGGUUAUCGGUUCAAGUCCGAUGGGUGGCU